GUGCUGGAAGGUUAAGGAGAGGGGUUAGCGUAAGCGAAGCUCUGAACUGAAGCCCCAGUAAACGGCGGCCGUAACUAUAACGGUCCUAAGGUAGCGAAAUUCCUUGUCGGGUAAGUUCCGACCCGCACGAAAGGUGUAACGAUUUGGGCACUGUCUCAACCAGAGACUCGGUGAAAUUAUAGUACCUGUGAAGAUGCAGGUUACCCGCGACAGGACGGAAAGACCCCGUGGAGCUUUACUGUAGCCUGAUAUUGAAUUUUGGUACAUUUUGUACAGGAUAGGCGGGAGCCAUUGAAACCGGAGCGCUAGCUUCGGUGGAGGCGCUGGUGGGAUACCGCCCUGAAUGUAUUGAAAUUCUAACCUACGGGUCUUAUCGACCCGGGAGACAGUGUCAGGUGGGCAGUUUGACUGGGGCGGUCGCCUCCUAAAGUGUAACGGAGGCGCCCAAAGGUUCCCUCAGAAUGGUUGGAAAUCAUUCGUAGAGUGCAAAGGCAUAAGGGAGCUUGACUGCGAGACCUACAAGUCGAGCAGGGACGAAAGUCGGGCUUAGUGAUCCGGUGGUUCCGCAUGGAAGGGCCAUCGCUCAACGGAUAAAAGCUACCCCGGGGAUAACAGGCUUAUCUCCCCCAAGAGUCCACAUCGACGGGGAGGUUUGGCACCUCGAUGUCGGCUCAUCGCAUCCUGGGGCUGUAGUCGGUCCCAAGGGUUGGGCUGUUCGCCCAUUAAAGCGGUACGCGAGCUGGGUUCAGAACGUCGUGAGACAGUUCGGUCCCUAUCCGUCGUGGGCGUAGGAAAUUUGAGAGGAGCUGUCCUUAGUACGAGAGGACCGGGAUGGACGCACCGCUGGUGUACCAGUUGUUCUGCCAAGGGCAUAGCUGGGUAGCUAUGUGCGGAAGGGAUAAGUGCUGAAAGCAUCUAAGCAUGAAGCCCCCCUCAAGAUGAGAUUUCCCAUAGCGUAAGCUAGUAAGAUCCCUGAAAGAUGAUCAGGUUGAUAGGUUCGAGGUGGAAGCAUGGUGACAUGUGGAGCUGACGAAUACUAAUAGAUCGAGGACUUAACCAU
This 1060-nucleotide ribosomal RNA is filed under the name Bacillus thuringiensis serovar japonensis. RNAcentral's name for it is "bacterial LSU rRNA". It matches the Rfam family "Bacterial large subunit ribosomal RNA", at positions 1866 to 2925 of the family's 2925-position model. Lineage: Bacteria; Bacillati; Bacillota; Bacilli; Caryophanales; Bacillaceae. The record is from RNAcentral.